This 309-nucleotide ribosomal RNA is filed under the name uncultured bacterium. Its description in RNAcentral is "partial 16S ribosomal RNA". It matches the Rfam family "Bacterial small subunit ribosomal RNA", at positions 504 to 807 of the family's 1533-position model. The record is from RNAcentral.
AGAGACAGCAGCAGCCGCGGUAAUACAGAGGGUGCAAGCGCUAAUCGGAAUUACUGGGCGUAAAGCGUGCGUAGGCGGUUUGUUAAGUCUGCUGUGAAAUCCCCGGGCUCAACCUGGGAAUGGCAGUGGAUACUGGCAAGCUAGAGUGUGUCAGAGGAUGGUGGAAUUCCCGGUGUAGCGGUGAAAUGCGUAGAGAUCGGGAGGAACAUCAGUGGCGAAGGCGGCCAUCUGAGACAACACUGACGCUGAGGCACGAAAGCGUGGGGAGCAAACAGGAUUAGAUACCCGCGUAGUCCCUGUCUCUUAUAC